AAAGGCUUAGUUAAUUAAUAACACCAACUUGUCAAGUUGUAAUAACCCCCUACAGGUAGCCUUUA
RNAcentral lists this transfer RNA (65 nucleotides) under Prosopocoilus gracilis. Its description in RNAcentral is "tRNA-Asp". The record is from RNAcentral. Lineage: Eukaryota; Metazoa; Arthropoda; Insecta; Coleoptera; Lucanidae. RNAcentral also lists the same sequence under 1 other name.